UGGGGAAUUUUGGACAAUGGGCGAAAGCCUGAUCCAGCAAUGCCGCGUGCAGGAUGAAGGCCUUCGGGUUGUAAACUGCUUUUGUACGGAACGAAAAAGCUUCUCCUAAUACGAGAGGCCCAUGACGGUACCGUAAGAAUAAGCACCGGCUAACUACGUGCCAGCAGCCGCGGUAAUACGUAGGGUGCGAGCGUUAAUCGGAAGUACUGGGCGUAAAGCGUGCGCAGGCGGUUAUGUAAGACAGAUGUGAAAUCCCCGGGCUCAACCUGGGAACUGCAUUUGUGACUGCAUGGCUAGAGUACGGUAGAGGGGGAUGGAAUUCCGCGUGUAGCAGUGAAAUGCGUAGAUAUGCGGAGGAACACCGAUGGCGAAGGCAAUCCCCUGGACCUGUACUGACGCUCAUGCACGAAAGCGUGGGGAGCAAACA
This 427-nucleotide ribosomal RNA is filed under the name uncultured bacterium. RNAcentral's name for it is "partial 16S ribosomal RNA". It matches the Rfam family "Bacterial small subunit ribosomal RNA", at positions 355 to 774 of the family's 1533-position model. The record is from RNAcentral.